This 72-nucleotide transfer RNA is filed under the name Camelus bactrianus (Bactrian camel). It matches the Rfam family "tRNA". From Rfam's summary of the family: Transfer RNA (tRNA) molecules are approximately 80 nucleotides in length. Their secondary structure includes four short double-helical elements and three loops (D, anti-codon, and T loops). The record is from Rfam by way of RNAcentral. RNAcentral also lists the same sequence under 2 other names. Lineage: Eukaryota; Metazoa; Chordata; Mammalia; Artiodactyla; Camelidae.
GAGGGUACAGCUCAGUGGUGGAGCACAUGCCUAGCACGCACAAGGUCCUGGGUUCAAUCCCUAGUACCUCCA